CAUUAGCGUAAUUUUAACGCGUUAAAAUAAAUUAAUACAUAAUUUCGUCAUUUACGUUUAUUACGUUGGUCUACGUUUUUUCAUCUACGUCAUCUACGGCACCUACGCGAAUCUUAUUAAUUACGUCUUUGGCAGUGUUCGUUGCUAUAAAUGAAACUUAAUAGUUGUUGAAACCGCUCGAAAGUCGUGUUCCUAAAUCAUUCCCUCGUCUCGUAUCGUGUUCAUCAAAUGGAAAAGGAGAUUGUGUUUUAAUGAAAUCGCUUGUUACUAUCAAUCUUGCUGUGUCACUCGCAUAGGAGAUGAAAGUGAGGAAGGAGAAAAAAAUUAAGCUAAAUUCCACAAAAACAAGAAAUAUACUUCCAACGUGUUUUCACGUGUCUCUAGCAAAGAUCUCAAAAACAAGUUGCGGCGCAAUUUAAAACGACAAAUAGCACCGUGUGUCUCGUUGUGGCAACGCACGCUUCGUCAGCUUUUUAAAAGCGCUCUCUGUCUGCUUUUUUCUCUCUUCACCGCCUAUUCGUUUUUUCUUAACGAGUGAAACCGUUUUUACGAGGACGGGAGCACAGAAAUGACGUACUGGCAAUUCUGUUUCGUGAUGACACAAGCAGCCCGGUUUCAGUGAAUUAAACCUGGCCCCAAGCUUCCAAUUAUCUCUCCCUUCCUUUCCUUUAUUUUUCCCUUCUAUAUCGAGUUUGAGGUUUUCUAAAUUUCCAUUACAAUCAACUAUGGCUUUUCU
Molecule: unclassified non-coding RNA, 736 nt
Filed under: Bombus terrestris (buff-tailed bumblebee)
Lineage: Eukaryota; Metazoa; Arthropoda; Insecta; Hymenoptera; Apidae
Description: misc RNA ENSBTSG00005031396.1
Source: RNAcentral